ACACUCCUGCGGGAGGCAGCAGUGGGGAAUAUUGCACAAUGGGCGCAAGCCUGAUGCAGCCAUGCCGCGUGUAUGAAGAAGGCCUUCGGGUUGUAAAGUACCUUCAGCGGGGAGGAAGGCGAUAAGGUUAAUAACCUUGUUGAUUGACGUUACCCGCAGAAGAAGCACCGGCUAACUCCGUGCCAGCAGCCGCGGUAAUACGGAGGGUGCAAGCGUUAAUCGGAAUUACUGGGCGUAAAGCGCACGCAGGCGGUCUGUCAAGUCGGAUGUGAAAUCCCCGGGCUCAACCUGGGAACUGCAUUCGAAACUGGCAGGCUAGAGUCUUGUAGAGGGGGGUAGAAUUCCAGGUGUAGCGGUGAAAUGCGUAGAGAUCUGGAGGAAUACCGGUGGCGAAGGCGGCCCCCUGGACAAAGACUGACGCUCAGGUGCGAAAGCGUGGGGAGCAAACAGGAUUAGAUACCCUUGUAGUCCCA
This 473-nucleotide ribosomal RNA is filed under the name uncultured organism. Its description in RNAcentral is "partial 16S ribosomal RNA". It matches the Rfam family "Bacterial small subunit ribosomal RNA", at positions 333 to 797 of the family's 1533-position model. The record is from RNAcentral.